Molecule: ribosomal RNA, 2361 nt
Filed under: Acinetobacter baumannii
Lineage: Bacteria; Pseudomonadati; Pseudomonadota; Gammaproteobacteria; Moraxellales; Moraxellaceae
Also listed under: 1 other name
Description: partial 23S ribosomal RNA
Rfam family: Bacterial large subunit ribosomal RNA
Source: RNAcentral
GAUUAAGUUAUUAAGGGCGCACGGUGGAUGCCUUGGCACUAGAAGCCGAUGAAGGACGUUACUAACGACGAUAUGCUUUGGGGAGCUGUAAGUAAGCUUUGAUCCAGAGAUUUCCGAAUGGGGAAACCCAGCAUGAGUUAUGUCAUGUUAUCGAUAUGUGAAUACAUAGCAUAUCAGAAGGCACACCCGGAGAACUGAAACAUCUUAGUACCCGGAGGAAGAGAAAGAAAAUUCGAUUCCCUUAGUAGCGGCGAGCGAAACGGGAAGAGCCCAAACCAACAAGCUUGCUUGUUGGGGUUGUAGGACACUCUAUACGGAGUUACAAAGGACGACAUUAGACGAAUCAUCUGGAAAGAUGAAUCAAAGAAGGUAAUAAUCCUGUAGUCGAAAAUGUUGUCUCUCUUGAGUGGAUCCUGAGUACGACGGAGCACGUGAAAUUCCGUCGGAAUCUGGGAGGACCAUCUCCUAAGGCUAAAUACUCUCUAGUGACCGAUAGUGAACCAGUACCGUGAGGGAAAGGUGAAAAGCACCCCGGAAGGGGAGUGAAAUAGAACCUGAAACCGUGUGCUUACAAGUAGUCAGAGCCCGUUAAUGGGUGAUGGCGUGCCUUUUGUAGAAUGAACCGGCGAGUUACGAUUUGAUGCAAGGUUAAGCAGUAAAUGUGGAGCCGUAGCGAAAGCGAGUCUGAAUAGGGCGUUUAGUAUUUGGUCGUAGACCCGAAACCAGGUGAUCUACCCUUGGUCAGGUUGAAGUUCAGGUAACACUGAAUGGAGGACCGAACCGACUUACGUUGAAAAGUGAGCGGAUGAACUGAGGGUAGCGGAGAAAUUCCAAUCGAACCUGGAGAUAGCUGGUUCUCUCCGAAAUAGCUUUAGGGCUAGCCUCAAGUGAUGAUUAUUGGAGGUAGAGCACUGUUUGGACGAGGGGCCCCUCUCGGGUUACCGAAUUCAGACAAACUCCGAAUGCCAAUUAAUUUAACUUGGGAGUCAGAACAUGGGUGAUAAGGUCCGUGUUCGAAAGGGAAACAGCCCAGACCACCAGCUAAGGUCCCAAAAUAUAUGUUAAGUGGAAAAGGAUGUGGCGUUGCCCAGACAACUAGGAUGUUGGCUUAGAAGCAGCCAUCAUUUAAAGAGUGCGUAAUAGCUCACUAGUCGAGUGACACUGCGCCGAAAAUGUACCGGGGCUAAACAUAUUACCGAAGCUGUGGAUUGUCCUUUGGACAAUGGUAGGAGAGCGUUCUAAGGGCGUUGAAGCAUGAUCGUAAGGACAUGUGGAGCGCUUAGAAGUGAGAAUGCCGGUGUGAGUAGCGAAAGACGGGUGAGAAUCCCGUCCACCGAUUGACUAAGGUUUCCAGAGGAAGGCUCGUCCGCUCUGGGUUAGUCGGGUCCUAAGCUGAGGCCGACAGGCGUAGGCGAUGGAUAACAGGUUGAUAUUCCUGUACCACCUAUAAUCGUUUUAAUCGAUGGGGGGACGCAGUAGGAUAGGCGAAGCGUGCGAUUGGAUUGCACGUCUAAGCAGUAAGGCUGAGUAUUAGGCAAAUCCGGUACUCGUUAAGGCUGAGCUGUGAUGGGGAGAAGACAUUGUGUCUUCGAGUCGUUGAUUUCACACUGCCGAGAAAAGCCUCUAGAUAGAAAAUAGGUGCCCGUACCGCAAACCGACACAGGUAGUCAAGAUGAGAAUUCUAAGGUGAGCGAGCGAACUCUCGUUAAGGAACUCGGCAAAAUGACCCCGUAACUUCGGGAGAAGGGGUGCUCUUUAGGGUUAACGCCCAGAAGAGCCGCAGUGAAUAGGCCCAAGCGACUGUUUAUCAAAAACACAGGUCUCUGCUAAACCGUAAGGUGAUGUAUAGGGGCUGACGCCUGCCCGGUGCUGGAAGGUUAAGAGGAGUGGUUAGCUUCUGCGAAGCUACGAAUCGAAGCCCCAGUAAACGGCGGCCGUAACUAUAACGGUCCUAAGGUAGCGAAAUUCCUUGUCGGGUAAGUUCCGACCCGCACGAAAGGCGUAACGAUUUGGGCACUGUCUCAACGAGAGACUCGGUGAAAUCAUAGUACCUGUGAAGAUGCAGGUUACCCGCGACAGGACGGAAAGACCCCGUGGAGCUUUACUGUAGCCUGAUAUUGAAAUUCGGCACAGCUUGUACAGGAUAGGUAGGAGCCUUUGAAACGUGAGCGCUAGCUUACGUGGAGGCGCUGGUGGGAUACUACCCUAGCUGUGUUGGCUUUCUAACCCGCACCACUUAUCGUGGUGGGAGACAGUGUCAGGCGGGCAGUUUGACUGGGGCGGUCGCCUCCUAAAAGGUAACGGAGGCGCUCAAAGGUUCCCUCAGAAUGGUUGGAAAUCAUUCAUAGAGUGUAAAGGCAU